AAUAACAUUUCAGGAAAUAAAGGCUAAACCUGAGAACUGUAGUAAUUUGGAGAAUGCUUUAGUGGGUCUAUAUGGUGAGACAUGCCCAACACGUCAUGAUGCAAAUCAUGCCAUGAAUGUAAAAGCUGAGGCAGUAUCAGAUGCAGAAGAGGAAGAGGAUCCUGUCCCACUAACAUUUCCAGAAAUAAAGGCUGAACCUGAGACAGAAAGGUGACUGAACAUUAGAUGCAAAGAAUGUGUAAAAGGUGUAGAAAGCAAUAGUGAAGAACUGGUGUUGGCAACACAUCCUAAUACAAGUGUAUUGACACAAUUGUGGUGAAAUGGAAUAUACAAUUGGAAUACAGCAUAGUGGACAGUU
Molecule: long non-coding RNA, 358 nt
Organism: Cryptotermes secundus
Lineage: Eukaryota; Metazoa; Arthropoda; Insecta; Blattodea; Kalotermitidae
Exons: 3
Source: RefSeq, a predicted model, not a curated record